UGUAAGCGUAUACCAAAGUUGUUGCAGUUAAAACGCUCGUAGUCGGACUUUGGCAGUUCCGGAUGUGUGCACGUCGUGUGCGCACUUCGCGGGGAUUGCUUUUGUGGUCUUGCGUAGGAUGAGGCACUUUUAUUAGUGAACGUCCUCACGCAACCACUUUUUACUGUGAGAAAAUCAGAGUGCUCAAAGCAGGCAUUUGCCGUGAAUGUAUUAGCAUGGAAUAAUAGAAUAGGACUUGGUUCUGUUUUGUUGGUUUGUUGGGACUGAGUAAUGAUUAAGAGGGACAGUUGGGGGCAUUUGUAUUUCGGUGCUAGAGGUGAAAUUCUUAGAUUACCGAAAGACAAACUGCUGCGAAAGCGUCUGCCAAGGAUGUUUUCAUUGA
RNAcentral lists this ribosomal RNA (382 nucleotides) under uncultured eukaryote. RNAcentral describes it as "partial 18S ribosomal RNA". It matches the Rfam family "Eukaryotic small subunit ribosomal RNA", at positions 592 to 976 of the family's 1831-position model. The record is from RNAcentral.